AUGUUAAGACCUUUCCUAAAUCACUUUUAUAGCGAUGACUUUGGGAAUGUAAUGUUGUUUAAUAAAUAGUUAAACGACGAACGUAAAGUAUAAGAACGUAAACAUGAAUGAUAUACAAUAAGUGUACUUAACCAAUGACGAUCAAAUCUCAAAUAAUAACAUAGGAGCAGUAGUAAUCCUUAAGGAAGGAUAAUUAACUCAAAAAGAGUUGUAUUAAUGAAGUAAAUCCACUUAAGGCAUAGAAGAGAAAGAAUUUGGUAAGAACAAUAUAAAAUAUAAUGGCAAGCCGAAACUAAUAAUAAUAAAUCUAAUAUAUAAUUAGAUUGAGAAG
RNAcentral lists this long non-coding RNA (331 nucleotides) under Panax ginseng (ginseng). Its description in RNAcentral is "long non-coding RNA (PGIN_LNC001210)". The record is from RNAcentral. Lineage: Eukaryota; Viridiplantae; Streptophyta; Magnoliopsida; Apiales; Araliaceae.